Molecule: long non-coding RNA, 1142 nt
Filed under: Equus asinus (donkey)
Lineage: Eukaryota; Metazoa; Chordata; Mammalia; Perissodactyla; Equidae
Description: lncRNA (ENSEASG00005027950.1)
Source: RNAcentral
GCAGGCUACAAAUUAAAACCCUUUGUGAUCCAACACAAUGAGGACCCCAGGGCCUUCAAGCACAUCAAUAAGCACACAGUGCCAGUGCACUACAGGAGCAAUAAGAAGUCAUGGAUGACCCAGCUUCUCUUCCAAGAUGCCCUCUUGAAUUGCUGUGCCAGCGAAAUGGAGAAGUACUGUUUGGAGAAUAACAUAACUUUCAAGAUUUUGCUUACUGUUGCCCAAUAUGAAAGCAGCUUUUCUCCCUUUAAGCAUCACCUCUUUGAUCCAACCAAUGGAUCCAAGAGUUACAGUAGUUUUUAAGGCCUACUACCUGAGGAAGACCUUUGCCCACACUAUUGCUGCAACUGAGGAAGACACUAAGAAGACACUGAAGCAAUUUUGGAAGGAUGACAAUUCUAUAACUGAAUCAAGAACUUUGCUUGGGCUUGGGGUGGUGCCACCAAGGAGUGUAUGAGUGGCACCUGGAAGAAGACAUUCAAGAGGUUCGUCCAUGACGUCAAAGGAUUUGCCAGGAUGAGGAGGCUGCAACAAUCAACAAGGCUGUGGCUGAGAUGCAAAUAACUUUAACCUGGGUGUGGAUGAGGACGACAUUGAAGAGCUCUUAGAAAUGGUUCCUAAGGAACUACUUAAUGAGUUGUUGUUGGAACUGGAACAGAAAUGCAUAGCCAAAGAAGAGGGAAGAGAAAAGGAAACUGCGGGAGAAGACAAAGAAGAAGAACCCCCUAAGAAGAUUCACAGUGAAGGGUUGAGCAGAAGCUUUUUUAGACCUCAACAAGCUCCUUAAACAGUAUGAAAACACGGACCUCAACGCUGAAAGGUUUUCAUUAAUAAAGAGGAAUGUUCACAGUGCCUUAUCUGCUUACAAGAAAAUCUAUGAUGAAAAACAAGAAACAAACCAAGAAAACCACCAUGGACAUAUUUCUGAAAACAGUCACACCUCCUCACGAAGAGCGGCAGGUCCCUCAGGAGGAACUGACAGGGAGGUGGAAGACAGUGAUAGCGAUGAUCCCGAUCCUCUGUAGGUCUAGGCUAAUGUGGGUGUUUGUCUUAGUUUUUAACAAAAAAGUUCAAAAAUUAAAAAAAUAAAAAAAUUUAAGAAGAGAAAAAAGCUUACAGAAUAAAGAUAUGAGGAAAGAAAA